This 253-nucleotide ribosomal RNA is filed under the name uncultured bacterium. RNAcentral's name for it is "partial 16S ribosomal RNA". It matches the Rfam family "Bacterial small subunit ribosomal RNA", at positions 524 to 776 of the family's 1533-position model. The record is from RNAcentral.
UACGGGGGGGGCAAGCGUUGUUCGGAAUUACUGGGCGUAAAGGGCUCGUAGGUGGCCAACUAAGUCGGACGUGAAAUCCCUCAGCUUAACUGGGGAACUGCGUCCGAUACUGGAUGGCUUGAGUUUGGGAGAGGGAUGCGGAAUUCCAGGUGUAGCGGUGAAAUGCGUAGAUAUCUGGAGGAACACCGGUGGCGAAGGCGGCGUUCUGGACUGUAACUGACACUGAGAAACGAAAGCCAGGGUAGCAAACGGG